AUCUUAAAAUAAUCGGACUUUCAUUUUGCUCAUGUUAGGAUGAGGUUCUCCUCCUGUUCCUAACAUGACCUUGUUUUAAUUGUUUGAAGGGGUUAUCCCCAAUCGUAUCAAGUCCAUGCCAAAAGGGAAAGACAUGCAAAGUCGAAAGGAAUUUUGAUUCAAAGCAAAGUCGUGAGUAGUACAUGUACAAGUUUCUCGAGU
This 201-nucleotide long non-coding RNA is filed under the name Elaeis guineensis (African oil palm). RNAcentral describes it as "long non-coding RNA (EGUI_LNC043662)". The record is from RNAcentral. Lineage: Eukaryota; Viridiplantae; Streptophyta; Magnoliopsida; Arecales; Arecaceae.